Molecule: long non-coding RNA, 395 nt
Organism: Cygnus atratus (black swan)
Lineage: Eukaryota; Metazoa; Chordata; Aves; Anseriformes; Anatidae
Exons: 3
Source: RefSeq, a predicted model, not a curated record
CCAUCAUCCAGGGACUCACAGAUCCCAGACUGUGUUUGGCAUUUGUAGUCUGUGAUGCCUCCUCAUACUUGUCAUUACUAAGAAUAGGCCCAACAUGGAGCCUUCAUGUUUUACCUGUAGGCAAGGUGAAACGAAGACCUGUGCAAAUGUACUGGAGCUGUAGUUGAGACCAGAAGCAUGCCUAUUAAUUGGAAUUUAGCAGCCAUCCACCUUGUCCACUAUGCCUUAUGCUGCCUAAAGAGAGGUCAAAGUUGCCAAAGAAGCAAUUUGCAUAGUGUUACUACUAUAAUUUUUAUUCAAAUGCUAUUUUAAAAGCAUACACAGUAACAGAGGUUUAGCUGGUAGUUAGUGAUUAAAAUAGCAUUAUGAUUUUAUUUGGUAAGUUAUUCAAGAAG